GGCGGAGUUAUAGCAUACCCCAAGCGCAGUAGUUUAGCUCGCUUUCAGGGAGGCUGUAGCUGCUUGCCGUAAAAAAACCCCCUAUACUUAUAG
RNAcentral lists this ribosomal RNA (93 nucleotides) under Annulohypoxylon substygium. Its description in RNAcentral is "partial 28S ribosomal RNA". Lineage: Eukaryota; Fungi; Ascomycota; Sordariomycetes; Xylariales; Hypoxylaceae. The record is from RNAcentral.